AGUGGGGGAAUAUUGCACAAUGGGCGCAAGCCUGAUGCAGCCAUGCCGCGUGUGUGAAGAAGGCCUUCGGGUUGUAAAGCACUUUCAGUCGUGAGGAAGGUAGUGUAGUUAAUAGCUGCAUUAUUUGACGUUAGCGACAGAAGAAGCACCGGGCUAACUCCGUGCCAGCAGCCGCGGUAAUACGGAGGGUGCGAGCGUUAAUCGGAAUUACUGGGCGUAAAGCGCAUGCAGGUGGUUUGUUAAGUCAGAUGUGAAAGCCCGGGGCUCAACCUCGGAAUAGCAUUUGAAACUGGCAGACUAGAGUACUGUAGAGGGGGUAGAAUUUCAGGUGUAGCGGUGAAAUGCGUAGAGAUCUGAAGGAAUACCGGUGGCGAAGGCGGCCCCCCUGGACAGAUACUGACACUCAGAUGCGAAAGCGUGGGGAGCAAACAGGAUUAGAUACCCUGGUAG
This 450-nucleotide ribosomal RNA is filed under the name uncultured bacterium. RNAcentral describes it as "bacterial SSU rRNA". It matches the Rfam family "Bacterial small subunit ribosomal RNA", at positions 353 to 793 of the family's 1533-position model. The record is from RNAcentral.